This 48-nucleotide non-coding RNA is filed under the name Schistosoma mattheei. Lineage: Eukaryota; Metazoa; Platyhelminthes; Trematoda; Strigeidida; Schistosomatidae. The record is from RNAcentral.
AUUCAGGUGACGAGUUCCAAAUACGACGUAACGCGCGUCAAACUGAAU